CGUAGGUGGCAAGCGUUGUCCGGAAUUAUUGGGCGUAAAGGGCGCGUAGGCGGUCCCUUAAGUCAGAUGUGAAAUCCCGAGGCUUAACCUCGGGCGUGCAUUUGAAACUGGGGGACUAGAGUGCAGGAGAGGUAAGUGGAAUUCCUAGUGUAGCGGUGAAAUGCGUAGAUAUUAGGAGGAACACCAGUGGCGAAGGCGACUUACUGGACUGUAACUGACGCUGAGGCGCGAAAGCGUGGGGAGCAAACAGGAUUAGAUACCCUGGUAGUCCACGCUGUAAACGAUGGAUACUAGGUGUGGGAGGUAUCGACCCCUUCCGUGCCGCAGUAAACGCAAUAAGUAUCCCGCCUGGGGAGUACGGCCGCAAGGUUG
RNAcentral lists this ribosomal RNA (372 nucleotides) under uncultured organism. RNAcentral's name for it is "bacterial SSU rRNA". It matches the Rfam family "Bacterial small subunit ribosomal RNA", at positions 526 to 896 of the family's 1533-position model. The record is from RNAcentral.